GCAUCAACUUUGAAUAUUGAAUUUGGUUUGGUUACUGCAGAAAAAUCAAAUUUCUUAAUUAACCCUAGAUUGAUAGAAAGUAUUUAAGAGUUAUUAUGAAAGAAAAUCUUGGGAAGAAUUCCAUAUGGAUUAAACUAUUCUAGAGUGAUUCUGACCCUUUUCUUCUUCUGACUUUGUCCAGGUUAAACAUGUUUCACUACUUAAUAGAGAUUUCUUCUGGGAUCCAUUUAAAAAUAAAUAGGAAAACUCACUUGAACUACUAUUGCACCAGACGGUCCAGACCAGUAAGAUUAUGAAUCCUACACCAGGUGUGUCAAAGCCUAACGAUCGGAAGUGGAACGCACCUUGAAACUACCAGCCACAUAAUGAACUCAUUACAACCGCAAACAAGCAUAAGUAACUGUGUCCUCCAAUAAUAAUCGGUUAAAGAAGUGCAGGCGAAACAAACUCCUGAAAGAGAAAGGGAAAGAACAUUCCAUGACACAAGAAGGCUUUGUAUGACAUGCAUUUUGGUGGAAUCAAAAUGCCUUGUUGGUGCUUUGGAAAAUUCUUCGCUUUGGGUCUCUUGAAAGGGGAGAUAAUAUGUACAGGAGAAAUGCGACCAGCAUUAUACUUUGAGGACAAAAAAGCUCUUAAUCUCUAUACUGGCAAUGAGAUCUGUAGGAAUUCAACUUUCACCAAUAUUACAGUCUACAUUUUGAAGAGGGGAAGUAUGCUCAUGCUGGGUGUUAUCGUGAUGGUCUUAAUGUUUUCUAUGGAACUAAAGGCUAUGGAAUCAUAUCAGGGGACUGGGAUUUGUAAAAAAAGCUUCAGAUUUCAGGAUACUAGCAUGCGGGGAUAUCAGUCUUCCCAUAGCAGGAAAUUUGGACUUGAGGCAUAUGAAGAUCCGUCCUUGGUAAGAUGAAGAUGAUCAACCAAGUCAUGCUCUUUAGUUUAAAACUGAUUAAAGUAGUAGCGCAAAUCAGCAAAGUGAAGAUAUGUGUUGUACUCACUCCUAUAGCAUCCCUUUGGCUGUCUUAGCUCAACAGGUAGAACGCAUGGCUUUUAGUCACGAGGUUGUGGGUUCAACUCCCACAGACAGUGACUUCGUAUUCAAGUAUGAGGUGAUUCUUCAGGAAGAGUACGUAGGUUCAUAUAAGUAAAAGGUUGUCUAAAACCUAUUAUAAAGGGCAAACACAAAGCCUGAAAGAAACCAAAAACAAAGAAAAUCUGCAAUAGAAGCAACUGCGACACUAUAACUGUUUACAUUCACAAAAUAUAUUGUCUUCUUUCAGAUUUUGAUAUUAUUCGAUUCAAACACUGCAAACAAUAGAAGCAACAAAAACAUCUAUGACAGUAAAAAUCGUAGAAGAAAAAUAAACUGGAAAACAAUGUUGUUGAUCGUUAGAAAAGAGAAUCAAGGAAACUAAGCUAACCCGAAUUCGUUGGAUACAAUACUAACUAGCUAGUUCUCUUGCAAUAGUAACAUAUCAUUUAAAGGAGUUGAGCUUUUCUCAUAAACGACCGAAGCUGCAUACACUACUCCAUCAAACUUAUGGAUGUGAUCUUCAUAAACAUCAUCACCAUCUUCUCUUUCAAACACCGUUGUCUCUUCAAUAUAAUCCUCCCACCUCGUACGCUUACCAAUGUAACAUGAUACCCAGGUAAAGUAUGAGCCGGAAUAUCUUUCAGAUCAACCUCAUAUUCGACCCAAAAUCGAGGUUCCUCAUCACUAGGAAAUUCAUCCUCAUCCAGUAUCGAUAUAGAAAGUUUCUUAUCCACUUCGUUGUGACACACCAUGCAUAUUUUUCUCUAGUAGUCUCUUUUUACUAACAGUCCAGUGAUAACGGAUCACUUUGAAUCUCCUUCUUUCGACAUUGAAACAUAGAACAUUCAUUACUGGGGUGGUGAUCCAAUAAAUUGAUUCUCCUAUUGUUGUAGGAGAGUAGGCUUUCCCAUUGUAUU
Papaver somniferum (opium poppy) is the source of this 1944-nucleotide RNA transcript. RefSeq lists it as uncharacterized. The transcript is spliced from 8 exons. The record is from RefSeq and is a predicted model, not a curated record. Lineage: Eukaryota; Viridiplantae; Streptophyta; Magnoliopsida; Ranunculales; Papaveraceae.